Molecule: ribosomal RNA, 253 nt
Filed under: uncultured bacterium
Lineage: Bacteria
Description: partial 16S ribosomal RNA
Rfam family: Bacterial small subunit ribosomal RNA
Source: RNAcentral
UACGGAGGGUGCAAGCGUUAAUCGGAAUUACUGGGCGUAAAGGGUGCGUAGGUGGUUGAUUAAGUUAUCUGUGAAAUUCCUGGGCUCAACCUGGGCGUGUCAGAUAAGACUGGUUGACUUUAGUAUGGGAGAGGGUAGUGGAAUUUCCGGUGUAGCGGUGAAAUGCGUAGAGAUCGGAAGGAACACCAGUGGCGAAGGCGGCUACCUGGCCUAAUACUGACACUGAGGCACGAAAGCGUGGGGAGCAAACAGG